Molecule: ribosomal RNA, 322 nt
Filed under: uncultured eukaryote
Lineage: Eukaryota
Description: partial 18S ribosomal RNA
Rfam family: Eukaryotic small subunit ribosomal RNA
Source: RNAcentral
CCCUUAGAUGUUCUGGGCCGCACGCGUGCUACACUGAGUGGAUCAGCGGGUCAGGUUACGCGAGAGCGGUUCCUAAUCUUCAAAUCCGCUCGUGAUGGGGAUUGACGGUUGCAAUUUUCCGUCAUGAACGAGGAAUACCUUGUAAGCGCGGGUCAUCAUCCCGCGCUGAAUACGUCCCUGCCCUUUGUACACACCGCCCGUCGCUCCUACCGAUUGAGUGGUCCGGUGAGGCUUUGGGAUCUAAGCGAAAAGAGCGUUUCGCUCCUUUUGCUGGGAGAACUCAGUCGAACCUUAUCAUUUAGAGGAAGGAGAAGUCGUAACA